This 309-nucleotide unclassified non-coding RNA is filed under the name uncultured fungus. Its description in RNAcentral is "partial contains 5.8S ribosomal RNA and internal transcribed spacer 2". The stretch from base 1 to 133 matches the Rfam family "5.8S ribosomal RNA", at positions 22 to 154 of the family's 154-position model. The record is from RNAcentral. Lineage: Eukaryota; Fungi.
UGGUUCUGGCAUCGAUGAAGAACGCAGCGAAAUGCGAUAAGUAAUGCGAAUUGCAGAAUUCAGUGAAUCAUCGAAUCUUUGAACGCACAUUGCGCCCCUUGGUAUUCCGAAGGGCAUGCCUGUUCGAGCGUCAUUACAACCCUCAAGCCUGGCUUGGUAUUGGGCCUCGCUGUACUUGGCGGGCCUUAAAAUCAGUGGCGGUGUCGUCGAGGCCCUACGCGUAGUAAAUAUCCUCGCUAUAGGACCUGGCGGUUACUGGCCCUUCGUCUCUCUAAGUUUGACCUCGGAUCAGGUAGGGAUACCCGCUGA